GACGAACGUUGGCGGCGUGCUUAAUACAUGCAAGUCAACUGAAGCAGUGGUAGCAAUAUCGCUGUGGAGGUGGCGCACGGGUGAGUAACACGUAGGUAAUCGGCCUUCAGGUCUGGCAUAACUCCGGGAAACCGGGGCUAAUAGCAGAUGAUGCAGCGGCUCGACAUCGAGACAGUUGUUAAAGCUAUGGCGCCUGAAGAUGAGCCUGCGUCUGAUUAGCUAGUUGGCGGGGUAACGGCCCACCAAGGCAACGAUCAGUAGCUGGUCUGAGAGGAUGAUCAGCCACACUGGAACUGAGACACGGUCCAGACUCCUACGGGAGGCAGCAGUAAGGAAUAUUGCCCAAUGGGAGAAAUCCUGAAGCAGCAACGCCGCGUGAGGGACGAAGGGCUUUUGCUUGUAAACCUCUGUAGUGAGAGAAAAAAAUCCCAAUCUUUGGGACAUGAUGGUAUCUCAAAAGUAAGCCCCGGCUAACUACGUG
This 481-nucleotide ribosomal RNA is filed under the name uncultured bacterium. RNAcentral describes it as "partial 16S ribosomal RNA". It matches the Rfam family "Bacterial small subunit ribosomal RNA", at positions 28 to 507 of the family's 1533-position model. The record is from RNAcentral.